GAUGAAGAACGCAGCGAAAUGCGAUAAGUAAUGUGAAUUGCAGAAUCCAGUGAAUCAUCGAAUCUUUGAACGCACAUUGCGCCCGCCAGCAUUCUGGCGGGCAUGCCUGUUCGAGCGUCAUUUCAACCCUCGACCUCCCUUUGGGGAAGUCGGCGGUGGGGACCGGCAGCACACCGCCGGCCCUGAAAUGGAGUGGCGGCCCGUCCGCGGCGACCUCUGCGUAGUAAUCCAACUCGCACCGGAACCCCGACGCGGCCACGCCGUAAAACACCCAACUUCUGAACGUUGACCUCGAAUCAGGUAGGACUACCCGCUGAACUUAAGCAUAUCAAUAAGCGGAGGA
RNAcentral lists this unclassified non-coding RNA (343 nucleotides) under soil metagenome. Its description in RNAcentral is "partial contains 5.8S ribosomal RNA, internal transcribed spacer 2, and large subunit ribosomal RNA". The stretch from base 1 to 120 matches the Rfam family "5.8S ribosomal RNA", at positions 35 to 154 of the family's 154-position model. The record is from RNAcentral.